This 320-nucleotide long non-coding RNA is filed under the name Elaeis guineensis (African oil palm). Its description in RNAcentral is "long non-coding RNA (EGUI_LNC072882)". The record is from RNAcentral. Lineage: Eukaryota; Viridiplantae; Streptophyta; Magnoliopsida; Arecales; Arecaceae.
AUAAUCUAAUCCAUUCAUAUGGAUCCUUCGAGGACAUAACAAUGCAAAGCUACAUACAUAUAUUGAAUCAAUACACACUAAUAUUUAAAACUAUUUUCUAAAAUUCUCUAAAAUUUUCAAAAAGGCAGGGGGAAGAGAUUACUAGAGAGGAGAAAGGAGAAUAAAAGAGGAAAAGCGAGUGAGAGGGAAAAUCCUUUUCACCCUCACACGUAGAAAGAUUGGGAAAGAAGAACUAGUAAAAGUGAGAGAUGGCAAACAAUGAAAGAGGGCAUGGUACCCAUUCACCAUUACCACACACACAUACAGUGGAAAGAGGGGAG